This 254-nucleotide ribosomal RNA is filed under the name uncultured bacterium. RNAcentral describes it as "partial 16S ribosomal RNA". It matches the Rfam family "Bacterial small subunit ribosomal RNA", at positions 524 to 776 of the family's 1533-position model. The record is from RNAcentral.
GACGUAGGGCGCGAGCGUUGUCCGGAUUUAUUGGGCGUAAAGAGCUCGUAGGCGGUUUGGUAAGUCGGAUGUGAAAUCUCCAGGCUCAACCUGGAGGGGUCAUUCGAUACUGCCAUGACUAGAGUUCGGUAGGGGAGUGUGGAAUUCCUGGUGGAGCGGUGAAAUGCGCAGAGAUCAGGAGGAACACCCGUAGCGAAGGCGGCACGCUGGGCCGAUACUGACGCUGAGGAGCGAAAGCGUGGGGAGCGAACAGG